Molecule: long non-coding RNA, 1510 nt
Filed under: Ursus maritimus (polar bear)
Lineage: Eukaryota; Metazoa; Chordata; Mammalia; Carnivora; Ursidae
Description: lncRNA (ENSUMAG00000017014.1)
Source: RNAcentral
AUGAAAGGAAAGCUGCUGUCUGAGCAGCCCAGGAGAGAAAGAGCAUUCUGGCCAAGAGGAACUGCCGGCUUCCUCACAAGAAUCUGCCGCUCAGACGUCUCCAGCACCACACCUAUCACUGAGAUCUCAGGGUCUGGCCCACCUGCCGGGGCUCAGAGCCAAACGGACUUGGAAUUCUUCAAGGGACCCCACAGAGCUCACCUGAUCCAACUUCCCACCAACCCAUUCCCGCCCAAAGGCCCAAGUAGCGACACAGCCUCCAAGGCCUCCACUGGUCUGUGGCAGGAGGCUUCACAGACCUCCCUUUCUGCUCGUAAGUCAGAACAUGAUACAUAUAUGAUCAGUGGCCACGGACGCGGGGGUUGCCACAGGUCACCGUGGCUGUGCAGGUGUUGUGUGGCUGGCUGGACAGAUGGUGAGGUCGUGUGGGUAUUGUGUGGCUGUGUGGGUGUUGUGUGGCUGGGCAGAUGGUGUGGUUGCUGCAGUUUUCAUACUUACUGUUGUUGUUAGUUGUGUGAUCGUACACCGUGGUUGUUGCCAUCAUGGCGGCGGGGGCGGGGGGGUUCGGUCCUUGUUUUUGUGUGGCUGUUGCCAUUGCUGCCUGCUUGUUGCGGGGAUUCUGGCUGCUUCACCACAGCCUGAGGAGGAGGCUGCUGCGGGGAGGGGUGGCUUCUUGACACCUGACCCUCUCCCAUCUCAUGGCAUCGGGCUGCGCCCAGGCAAGCAGAAGGGCCAGGCAGAGAGAGGGAAUCUUCUCCAGGUGAGCGGCGGUUGGACGCACCAGCUUCUCCAGCCCCGCACCCCCCUCUCCGGCUGUGGGUGAUGCCCUGCACAGCUAUGCAGGCCACUCACCCAGAGCUGGGGCAAGUCCAAGCCCUUGAAAGCCUGAAGGUUCUCCUCUGCGAAGCACCACCUCUAUUCCUGAGAGUACUUUCCUGUGAAGAAACACAUUAUCUGCAUCAUCUGAAACAGACCUUGCCUCAUCCCCCUGCCCUGAGGGUGUCAAGCAAGCCCAGCAGACAGAGCAGACGGCCCUGGGGUGGGGAGGGGGGAAGAAAGCAAGCAAACAUCUGUCGGAUGGAGCAUAUGGGAAGACAUGUCUCACCUCAGAUCACAGCAGAGGGCCCAGCCCGUCGCCCAGCCUGAUGCCCACCUCUGUGGUCUUGGACCUGAACUCAGCAUGAGGCAGGGCAGGCUGUUCAGACCUCACCUCCACCCACCACCGUUCUGAGGGCCCCAUGAGCAGAUUAGAGCUGUGCUGAGGCCAUGUGGUUUCCCCAGCACAGCAAGCCAAGACACUCGGUUCUUAGUACCCAGGAUGGAACUUUACAUCGGCCUCAAGGAACCUGGGUCCUGUGCAAUAUAUCCGCUCCCCUGAACUCUGCUCCCGACCAGAAAUUUAUUUGUUUUAAAUGCAUUAGUAGAUAAUACGUCACAUGGUCUGAAAGGCAAAUGUACAAAAAGGGCAUACAGUGAAAUACACCCUCCCACACCUUUCUCACAUGAACUA